Molecule: non-coding RNA, 304 nt
Organism: Otolemur garnettii (small-eared galago)
Lineage: Eukaryota; Metazoa; Chordata; Mammalia; Primates; Galagidae
Source: Rfam
GCCACGCGUGGCGGUAUAUGCCUGUAGUCCCAGCUACUGGGGAGGCUGAGACAGGGCGAUCACUUGAGUCCAAGAGUUCUGGGCUGUAGUGUGCUAUGCCAAACAGGUGUCCGCACUAAAUUCAACAUCAAUAUGGUGACCUCCCAGGAGCAGGGGACCACCGGGUGGGUUGCCUAAAGAGGGAUGAACUGGCCCAGGUCGGAAACAGAGCAGGUCAAAGCUUCCGUGAUGAUCAGGAGUGGGAUCGUGCCUGUAAAUAGCCACGGCACUCCAGCCUGGGUACCUUAGUGAGACCCCGUCUCAA